UACGGAGGGUGCAAGCGUUAUCCGGAUUCACUGGGUUUAAAGGGAGCGUAGGUGGGCAGGUAAGUCAGUGGUGAAAUCUCUGGGCUUAACCCGGAAACUGCCAUUGAUACUAUCUGUCUUGAAUUUCCUGGAGGUAAGCGGAAUAUGUCAUGUAGCGGUGAAAUGCUUAGAUAUGACAUAGAACACCCAUUGCGAAGGCAGCUUACUACGGGACGAUUGACACUGAGGCUCGAAAGCGUGGGGAUCAAACAGG
Molecule: ribosomal RNA, 253 nt
Filed under: uncultured bacterium
Lineage: Bacteria
Description: partial 16S ribosomal RNA
Rfam family: Bacterial small subunit ribosomal RNA
Source: RNAcentral